AUGAACGUAGAGAUGAACAUUGCCUCCGCCAUGAUCCAAGUCGAGUUCAGAAACAACGACCAGGCCGCCCAGGUCAUCGGCCGCCAGUUAGCACUCAUCGGAGACCAACUGCACGGGAACCGGGCACUCGGUCGUCCCGGUAACGGACUACUAUCUCCGCUCCGCAUCCUGAGACCGACCCUGACCAGCGCCCUCUACAGGGACAUCCAGAAGCAGCUGUGUGGGGUGCAGGGGGCGCUCUACACCACCCUGAAGGCCUGGCUCACCUCUGUCACCCCAACCCUGGGGCCCUUCAGAGCGGAGGCCCUGCCAGCCUGGGCAAACGUUGGCUGGAUCAACCGUUUCCUGCUGACAGUGGCGCUGGUUGCCACGGGGAGCCUUUGCACUGCAUUAUGGGUAGAGUGGGAAGGCUAGUGGGCGGAGCCUCAGGGCUCUUUAACUGCUCUUCAUCUGUGUGCAGAUAAACAAGUAAUUUUAAUCCUUAUUAUUCAUUGUUAUUAUUAACUGUCCCUUCCUUUGGCCGUUUGCUUUUGCUUAUUUUAUUUUAUAUUUUUAAUACUAAUUGAAUGUUAUAAUGAAGCAUGUGAAUGACACCACAGAAUUAGAGCCAAACUCAGGGGGUCAUGAUAAGAACAUAGAAACAUUAAUAUUGGCAUAAACAUGAAUACAGAUUGAUGCAUCAGGUUUCUUAAAGAGUUUGUAAUAUUGCACUGAUUAUACCCAUCCAACUUAUGAUAGGUGGACAUUAGAAUCCAACGGUUUGAUCAGUUUAGAUCAGGUUCUCAACCUGCGGGUUGGGGACCAUUUAGGGUCCCCCCUGAUGGUCAAACAGGCCACAUUUAUACUUAAGCCAUAGAUAUGUUAUAUUCAUUUUUUAUGAGGAAAAAUAAUUUUAACGGGGUGAAAGGUGUCAUAAAAAGUCUUGCAUACAAAGAGUGCCUAAUGAUUUGUAGCGAGCGUUAUGUAGCGAGUGACUUGUAAUCACUUAUUGUGGUAUUUCACUGGAUCAGCGAUAUUUCAGGUGAUUGAUGAUUGGUUUAAAACAAUGUUGAGGGGGGGGGGGGAAUGAUGCAUCAACAUGUAAGAAGGAGGGAGGGGAGGGGUUCGCAAACAUUCUGGGGCCAUCAAAGGUUGGGAACCACGGUUUUAGAAUUUGAUGCAUUCUGAGUGUGAGGAGGCGGGGGCGAUGCAGCUGGCGGUCAUCAAAAUGUCCAGCAACUUCUGGCGCGGCCACUGCUCUGAUAAAGCUGGUCUAUUUGGGGUUAAUGUUGGUUUAUGUUCAUGACUGUGGCUGGUCUGCAGCCUUUUUGUAUGGAACGUCUUUUUUGGCCAUGAUGAGAGAUGGAUUUUUUUGUUAUUUGCAACUGAUGUGUAGCCUUGCUCAUUACCAAAGGAAGCUGGACUUUCUCCUUCGGAAUUCAAAAACUGCUUAUUCACAAAUAAAGUUUUAAGAAAAAAAACGUGACUAUUUCAUUGAUAAAAAAAACUGGAUAUUUAAUUUAGUCACACACACAACAGCACAUACGCCCUCAGCUAGAAUUGAGUAGCUCCAAGGGGCAAUGAGGCAGGCACACACACACACACACACACACACACACACACACACACACACACACACACACACACACACACACACACACACACACACACACACACACAC
Molecule: long non-coding RNA, 1660 nt
Filed under: Gadus morhua (Atlantic cod)
Lineage: Eukaryota; Metazoa; Chordata; Actinopteri; Gadiformes; Gadidae
Description: lncRNA (ENSGMOG00000036181.1)
Source: RNAcentral